GCUGGCGGCAUGCUUAACACAUGCAAGUCGAACGGUAACAGGCCCUUCGGGGUGCUGACGAGUGGCGGACGGGUGAGUAACGCGUAGGAAUUUGCCCAGUAGUGGGGGACAACUUGGGGAAACCCAAGCUAAUACCGCAUACGCCCUACGGGGGAAAGCGGGGGAUCUUCGGACCUCGUGCUAUUGGAUGAGCCUGCGUCGGAUUAGCUAGUUGGUAGGGUAAAGGCCUACCAAGGCGACGAUCCGUA
RNAcentral lists this ribosomal RNA (248 nucleotides) under uncultured Methylococcaceae bacterium. RNAcentral's name for it is "partial 16S ribosomal RNA". It matches the Rfam family "Bacterial small subunit ribosomal RNA", at positions 35 to 285 of the family's 1533-position model. Lineage: Bacteria; Pseudomonadati; Pseudomonadota; Gammaproteobacteria; Methylococcales; Methylococcaceae. The record is from RNAcentral.